This 1751-nucleotide ribosomal RNA is filed under the name Escherichia coli. Its description in RNAcentral is "bacterial LSU rRNA". It matches the Rfam family "Bacterial large subunit ribosomal RNA", at positions 505 to 2241 of the family's 2925-position model. The record is from RNAcentral. Lineage: Bacteria; Pseudomonadati; Pseudomonadota; Gammaproteobacteria; Enterobacterales; Enterobacteriaceae.
GAGGGAAAGGCGAAAAGAACCCCGGCGAGGGGAGUGAAAAAGAACCUGAAACCGUGUACGUACAAGCAGUGGGAGCCUCUUAAUGGGGUGACUGCGUACCUUUUGUAUAAUGGGUCAGCGACUUAUAUUCUGUAGCAAGGUUAACCGAAUAGGGGAGCCGAAGGGAAACCGAGUCUUAACUGGGCGUUAAGUUGCAGGGUAUAGACCCGAAACCCGGUGAUCUAGCCAUGGGCAGGUUGAAGGUUGGGUAACACUAACUGGAGGACCGAACCGACUAAUGUUGAAAAAUUAGCGGAUGACUUGUGGCUGGGGGUGAAAGGCCAAUCAAACCGGGAGAUAGCUGGUUCUCCCCGAAAGCUAUUUAGGUAGCGCCUCGUGAAUUCAUCUCCGGGGGUAGAGCACUGUUUCGGCAAGGGGGUCAUCCCGACUUACCAACCCGAUGCAAACUGCGAAUACCGGAGAAUGUUAUCACGGGAGACACACGGCGGGUGCUAACGUCCGUCGUGAAGAGGGAAACAACCCAGACCGCCAGCUAAGGUCCCAAAGUCAUGGUUAAGUGGGAAACGAUGUGGGAAGGCCCAGACAGCCAGGAUGUUGGCUUAGAAGCAGCCAUCAUUUAAAGAAAGCGUAAUAGCUCACUGGUCGAGUCGGCCUGCGCGGAAGAUGUAACGGGGCUAAACCAUGCACCGAAGCUGCGGCAGCGACACUAUGUGUUGUUGGGUAGGGGAGCGUUCUGUAAGCCUGUGAAGGUGUACUGUGAGGUAUGCUGGAGGUAUCAGAAGUGCGAAUGCUGACAUAAGUAACGAUAAAGCGGGUGAAAAGCCCGCUCGCCGGAAGACCAAGGGUUCCUGUCCAACGUUAAUCGGGGCAGGGUGAGUCGACCCCUAAGGCGAGGCCGAAAGGCGUAGUCGAUGGGAAACAGGUUAAUAUUCCUGUACUUGGUGUUACUGCGAAGGGGGGACGGAGAAGGCUAUGUUGGCCGGGCGACGGUUGUCCCGGUUUAAGCGUGUAGGCUGGUUUUCCAGGCAAAUCCGGAAAAUCAAGGCUGAGGCGUGAUGACGAGGCACUACGGUGCUGAAGCGACAAAUGCCCUGCUUCCAGGAAAAGCCUCUAAGCAUCAGGUAACAUCAAAUCGUACCCCAAACCGACACAGGUGGUCAGGUAGAGAAUACCAAGGCGCUUGAGAGAACUCGGGUGAAGGAACUAGGCAAAAUGGUGCCGUAACUUCGGGAGAAGGCACGCUGAUAUGUAGGUGAAGCGACUUGCUCGUGGAGCUGAAAUCAGUCGAAGAUACCAGCUGGCUGCAACUGUUUAUUAAAAACACAGCACUGUGCAAACACGAAAGUGGACGUAUACGGUGUGACGCCUGCCCGGUGCCGGAAGGUUAAUUGAUGGGGUUAGCGGUAACGCGAAGCUCUUGAUCGAAGCCCCGGUAAACGGCGGCCGUAACUAUAACGGUCCUAAGGUAGCGAAAUUCCUUGUCGGGUAAGUUCCGACCUGCACGAAUGGCGUAAUGAUGGCCAGGCUGUCUCCACCCGAGACUCAGUGAAAUUGAACUCGCUGUGAAGAUGCAGUGUACCCGCGGCAAGACGGAAAGACCCCGUGAACCUUUACUAUAGCUUGACACUGAACAUUGAGCCUUGAUGUGUAGGAUAGGUGGGAGGCUUUGAAGUGUGGACGCCAGUCUGCAUGGAGCCGACCUUGAAAUACCACCCUUUAAUGUUUGAUGUUCUAACGUGGGCCCCUUACCG